This 683-nucleotide long non-coding RNA is filed under the name Amborella trichopoda. RNAcentral describes it as "long non-coding RNA (ATRI_LNC005164)". The record is from RNAcentral. Lineage: Eukaryota; Viridiplantae; Streptophyta; Magnoliopsida; Amborellales; Amborellaceae.
UACAUUAGAAAUGGGAUGGACAAAUGGGAAGAUUGUAGAUAGGUGCUCAUAAAAAGAGUUACAGAUGUCUGGUACGCUGGUGCAUGAAGCCAUAUUCGCAAUUAGUAAACACAUUUUGUGUAGCAUUAAAGGGUGUAACUACAAUAUGCUCUCGUUGGAGUAACUACAAUAUGCUCUCGUAAUUAGUGAGGAUUGUUUGGGCAAAUAGUUAGAAAUUCUAACGCACGUUUCUUUGUCUCUCUCUCUCUCUCUAGAAAAUAGAGAGUGACAGUCUCCCUCUAAGCAACGCCUUCCUUCUAUGUGUUGGUCCGCAUGCCAAUUUGGUCACAGUUGUGGGGACGUAGUUGGGCGCAUUAGAGGCAAGAAAACAGCACCCAAGCCUUAUUCGCCAACCAUCAAGGCAGCAGCCCCAUACAUCCCUUGCAUAACCUUACACGUGCCGCACCUAUCAACACACGUGACAAACCUCCGAAGCAAUUUGACACGUGUGUACUCUCUCUCCCGCCUUGUGCAUUUCACCAGUUAACUGUGAUUCCCAUGCUGCCCUCCUCCCAUUGGCCACCUUGCCCCCAGCCCUAAUCCUAUAAAACACUGCAAAUGCUGCUUCCUCACUCUUCUUCUACACCACCACCAUCCUCCCUCCCCGUCCUGCAUGUUACCAUCUCUCAUCCCCAAAGGGUCCC